GGGCUAGGAAGCUCUGACUACGGUCCUACAAACACCGAUUCGAACGAGGUGGAAUACGUCGACCGUUAGGGCUGUCACUACCCUAGGGCUACCACAACAAUCCGCAGGAUUGGGUGCAAUUCCAGGUAAUAGCAAGACUAAACACCACAUCUAAUCUAUUAAUUACUACUCUAGCGUUAUAAAGACUAGAGCACUUGAUGCA
This 202-nucleotide long non-coding RNA is filed under the name Sorghum bicolor (sorghum). Its description in RNAcentral is "long non-coding RNA (SBIC_LNC017451)". Lineage: Eukaryota; Viridiplantae; Streptophyta; Magnoliopsida; Poales; Poaceae. The record is from RNAcentral.